GGUCACUGCUAUCGGUGUUCGUCUAAGCCAUGCGAGUCAUAUGUUCUUUGGAACAUGGCGUACUGCUCAGUAACACGUGGAUAACCUGCCCUUGGGUCCGGCAUAACCCCGGGAAACUGGGGAUAAUACCGGAUAACGCAUAUAUGCUGGAAUUCUUAUGCGUGAAACGGAUUCGUCUGCCCAAGGAUGGGUCUGCGGCCUAUCAGGUAGUAGUGGGUGUAAUGUACCUACUAGCCGACGACGGGUACGGGUUGUGAGAGCAAGAGCCCGGAGAUGGAUUCUGAGACAUGAAUCCAGGCCCUACGGGGCGCAGCAGGCGCGAAAACUUUACAAUGCGGGAAACCGUGAUAAGGGGACACCGAGUGCCAGCAUCAUAUGCUGGCUGUCCGGGUGUGUAAAAUACACCUGUUAGCAAGGGCCGGGCAAGACCGGUGCCAGCCGCCGCGGUAACACCGGCGGCCCGAGUGGUGAUCGUGAUUAUUGGGUCUAAAAGGUCCGUAGCCGGUUUGGUCAGUCCUCCGGGAAAUCUGACGGCUUAACCGUUAGGCUUUCGGGGGAUACUGCCAGACUUGGAACCGGGAGAGGUAAGAGGUACUACAGGGGUAGGAGUGAAAUCUUGUAAUCCCUGUGGGACCACCUGUGGCGAAGGCGUCUUACCAGAACGGGUUCGACGGUGAGGGACGAAAGCUGGGGGCACGAACCGGAUUAGAUACCCGGGUAGUCCCAGCCGUAAACGAUGCUCGCUAGGUGUCAGGCAUGGCGCGACCGUGUCUGGUGCCGCAGGGAAGCCGUGAAGCGAGCCACCUGGGAAGUACGGCCGCAAGGCUGAAACUUAA
RNAcentral lists this ribosomal RNA (836 nucleotides) under uncultured archaeon. Its description in RNAcentral is "bacterial SSU rRNA". It matches the Rfam family "Archaeal small subunit ribosomal RNA", at positions 21 to 859 of the family's 1478-position model. The record is from RNAcentral.